AGCGGCAGGCUUAACACAUGCAAGUCGAGGGGCAGCACGGGUAGCAAUACCUGGUGGCGACCGGCGCAAGGGUGCGUAACGCGUGAGCAACAUGCCCUAUACAGGGGGAUAAUCCAGGGAAACUUGGUCUAAUAUCCCAUAGUAUUUAGAGGAGGCAUCUUCUAUAAAUUAAAGCUUCGGUGGUAUAGGAUUGGCUCGCGUGACAUUAGCUAGAUGGUGAGGUAACGGCUCACCAUGGCAAUGAUGUCUAGGGGUUCUGAGAGGAAGGCCCCCCACACUGGGACUGAGACACGGCCCAGACUCCUACGGGAGGCAGCAGUGAGGAAUAUUGGACAAUGGAUGGAAAUCUGAUCCAGCCAUGCCGCGUGCAGGAAGACAGCCCUAUGGGUUGUAAACUGCUUUUAUAUGGGAGCAAUAAGGUCUAUGCGUAGACUGAUGAGAGUACCAUACGAAUAAGCAUCGGCUAACUCCGUG
Molecule: ribosomal RNA, 474 nt
Filed under: uncultured bacterium
Lineage: Bacteria
Description: bacterial SSU rRNA
Rfam family: Bacterial small subunit ribosomal RNA
Source: RNAcentral